AACGUAGGACGCGAGCGUUAUCCGGAUUUACUGGGCGUAAAGCGCGUGCAGGCGGUGGGUUAAGUCGUGCGUGAAAGCUCCCUGGCUCAACCGGGAGAGGUCGUACGAAACUGACCGACUUGAGGGCAGCAGAGGAGUGUGGAAUUCCGGGUGUAGUGGUGAAAUGCGUAGAUAUCCGGAGGAACACCAGUGGCGAAGGCGGCACUCUGGGCUGUACCUGACGCUAAGACGCGAAAGCAUGGGUAGCGAACGGG
This 254-nucleotide ribosomal RNA is filed under the name uncultured bacterium. RNAcentral's name for it is "partial 16S ribosomal RNA". It matches the Rfam family "Bacterial small subunit ribosomal RNA", at positions 524 to 776 of the family's 1533-position model. The record is from RNAcentral.